GACGAACGCUGGCGGCGUGCCUAAUACAUGCAAGUUGAGCGCUGAAGGUUGGUACUUGUACCAACUGGAUGAGCAGCGAACGGGUGAGUAACGCGUGGGGAAUCUGCCUUUGAGCGGGGGACAACAUUUGGAAACGAAUGCUAAUACCGCAUAAAAACUUUAAACACAAGUUUUAAGUUUGAAAGAUGCAAUUGCAUCACUCAAAGAUGAUCCCGCGUUGUAUUAGCUAGUUGGUGAGGUAAAGGCUCACCAAGGCGAUGAUACAUAGCCGACCUGAGAGGGUGAUCGGCCACAUUGGGACUGAGACACGGCCCAAACUCCUACGGGAGGCAGCAGUAGGGAAUCUUCGGCAAUGGACGAAAGUCUGACCGAGCAACGCCGCGUGAGUGAAGAAGGUUUUCGGAUCGUAAAACUCUGUUGGUAGAGAAGAACGUUGGUGAG
RNAcentral lists this ribosomal RNA (441 nucleotides) under Lactococcus lactis. RNAcentral's name for it is "bacterial SSU rRNA". It matches the Rfam family "Bacterial small subunit ribosomal RNA", at positions 28 to 459 of the family's 1533-position model. Lineage: Bacteria; Bacillati; Bacillota; Bacilli; Lactobacillales; Streptococcaceae. The record is from RNAcentral.